UCCGUUGGUGAACCAGCGGAGGGAUCAUUACUGAGUUUACGCUCUACAACCCUUUGUGAACAUACCUAUAACUGUUGCUUCGGCGGGUAGGGUCUCCGUGACCCUCCCGGCCUCCCGCCCCCGGGCGGGUCGGCGCCCGCCGGAGGAUAACCAAACUCUGAUUUAACGACGUUUCUUCUGAGUGGUACAAGCAAAUAAUCAAAACUUUUAACAACGGAUCUCUUGGUUCUGGCAUCGAUGAAGAACGCAGCGAAAUGCGAUAAGUAAUGUGAAUUGCAGAAUUCAGUGAAUCAUCGAAUCUUUGAACGCACAUUGCGCCCGCCAGCAUUCUGGCGGGCAUGCCUGUUCGAGCGUCAUUUCAACCCUCAAGCUCUGCUUGGUGUUGGGGCCCUACAGCUGAUGUAGGCCCUCAAAGGUAGUGGCGGACCCUCCCGGAGCCUCCUUUGCGUAGUAACUUUACGUCUCGCACUGGGAUCCGGAGGGACUCUUGCCGUAAAACCCCCAAUUUUCCAAAGGUUGACCUCGGAUCAGGUAGGAAUACCCGCUGAACUUA
RNAcentral lists this ribosomal RNA (553 nucleotides) under Colletotrichum tropicale. RNAcentral's name for it is "eukaryotic LSU rRNA". The stretch from base 203 to 356 matches the Rfam family "5.8S ribosomal RNA". Lineage: Eukaryota; Fungi; Ascomycota; Sordariomycetes; Glomerellales; Glomerellaceae. The record is from RNAcentral. RNAcentral also lists the same sequence under 3 other names.